RNAcentral lists this ribosomal RNA (119 nucleotides) under Periophthalmus magnuspinnatus. The record is from RNAcentral. Lineage: Eukaryota; Metazoa; Chordata; Actinopteri; Gobiiformes; Gobiidae.
UACUUAAGCCAUACCUGCUUGUCAUGCCCUGAUCUCAUAAGAUCUCAGGUGCUCAGCAAGGCUGGGCCUGGUUAGUACUUGGAUGGGAGACCGCUGGGUCACAUCAGGGGCCACAGUGG